This 468-nucleotide ribosomal RNA is filed under the name uncultured bacterium. RNAcentral describes it as "partial 16S ribosomal RNA". It matches the Rfam family "Bacterial small subunit ribosomal RNA", at positions 28 to 507 of the family's 1533-position model. The record is from RNAcentral.
GACGAACGCUGGCGGCGUGCUUAACACAUGCAAGUCGAACGGAAAGGCCCUGCUUUUGUGGUGUUCUCGAGUGGCGAACGGGGGAGUAACACGUGAGUAACCUGCUCUUGACUUUGGGAUAACUUCAGGAAACUGGGGCUAAUACCGGAUAGGAUCUCCUGCUGCAUUGUGGGGGUUGGAAAGUUUCGGCGGUUGGGGAUGGACUCGCGGCUUAUCAGCUUGUUGGUGGGGUAGUGGCUUACCAAGGGAUUGACGGGUAGCCGGCCUGGGAGGGUGACCGGGGACCAUAGUCCUAAGAGAGGGCGCAGAGGCGUAUAGUAGGCAGCAGUGGGGAAUCUUGCACAGUCGGAGGGAGUCUGAUGCGACGACGUCGCGUGCGGGAUGCCGGUCUUCGGGUUGUAAACCGCAUUAGCCUGUGACGAAGCGUGAGUGACGGUAAUGGGUGAAGAAGCACCGGCUAACUACGUG